Molecule: ribosomal RNA, 496 nt
Filed under: uncultured bacterium
Lineage: Bacteria
Description: partial 16S ribosomal RNA
Rfam family: Bacterial small subunit ribosomal RNA
Source: RNAcentral
GACGAACGCUGGCGGCGUGCCUAAUACAUGCAAGUUGAGCGCUGAAGGUUGGUACUUGUACCAACUGGAUGAGCAGCGAACGGGUGAGUAACGCGUGGGGAAUCUGCCUUUGAGCGGGGGACAACAUUUGGAAACGAAUGCUAAUACCGCAUAAAAACUUUAAACACAAGUUUUAAGUUUGAAAGAUGCAAUUGCAUCACUCAAAGAUGAUCCCGCGUUGUAUUAGCUAGUUGGUGAGGUAAAGGCUCACCAAGGCGAUGAUACAUAGCCGACCUGAGAGGUUGAUCGGCCACAUUGGAACUGAAAAACGGCCAAACUCCUACGGGAGGCAGCAGUAGGGAAUCUUCGGCAAUGGACGAAAGUCUGACCGAGCAACGCCGCGUGAGUGAAGAAGGUUUUCGGAUCGUAAAACUCUGUUGGUAGAGAAGAACGUUGGUGAGAGUGGAAAGCUCAUCAAGUGACGGUAACUACCCAGAAAGGGACGGCUAACUACGUG